GAUGAACGCUGGCGGCGUGCCUAAUACAUGCCAGUCGAGCGAACAGACGAGGAGCUUGCUCCUCUGACGUUAGCGGCGGACGGGUGAGUAACACGUGGAUAACCUACCUAUAAGACUGGGAUAACUUCGGGAAACCGGAGCUAAUACCGGAUAAUAUAUUGAACCGCAUGGUUCAAUAGUGAAAGACGGUUUUGCUGUCACUUAUAGAUGGAUCCGCGCCGCAUUAGCUAGUUGGUAAGGUAACGGCUUACCAAGGCAACGAUGCGUAGCCGACCUGAGAGGGUGAUCGGCCACACUGGAACUGAGACACGGUCCAGACUCCUACGGGAGGCAGCAGUAGGGAAUCUUCCGCAAUGGGCGAAAGCCUGAUGGAGCAACGCCGCGUGAGUGAUGAAGGUCUUCGGAUCGUAAAACUCUGUUAUUAGGGAAGAAUAAAUGUGUAAGUAACUAUGCACGUCUUGACGGUACCUAAUCAGAAAGCCACGGCUAACUACGUG
RNAcentral lists this ribosomal RNA (497 nucleotides) under uncultured bacterium. RNAcentral's name for it is "partial 16S ribosomal RNA". It matches the Rfam family "Bacterial small subunit ribosomal RNA", at positions 28 to 507 of the family's 1533-position model. The record is from RNAcentral.